This 542-nucleotide transfer RNA is filed under the name uncultured cyanobacterium. RNAcentral describes it as "partial 16S-23S ribosomal RNA intergenic spacer". The stretch from base 212 to 284 matches the Rfam family "tRNA". The record is from RNAcentral. Lineage: Bacteria; Bacillati; Cyanobacteriota.
CAGGGAGACAACAAAAUGUUUAAUAUUAUUAUUUUGUCACCUUAGGUCGAUCGGUAUCUCACGUUCUUAAUUUAUUAAGAAUUUCAUUUCCUAAGUUUUUCUAGGUCACACCCAUUAUUUUUCCUGGGCCAUUAGCUCAGGUGGUUAGAGCGCACCCCUGAUAAGGGUGAGGUCCCUGGUUCAAGUCCAGGAUGGCCCAUAUCUCUAUGUUGGGGGUAUAGCUCAGUUGGUAGAGCGCCUGCUUUGCAAGCAGGAUGUCAGCGGUUCGAGUCCGCUUACCUCCACUGAUUACCACCUCUUCCAUAACCGGUAGAAAGGAAAUGUUUUGAGUUGUGAUCAUUAUUCUGAACGAAUCUAGCUUCCUAAUGAAAUCAUUAAGAUGCUGGACUCAUUGAAUUAAUUUCAUUGUUUUCAGAGAACCUUGACAACUGCAUAGAUUAUUUUUAAAGACAAUAAGCAUCUUUAAUGAUGCAGAUUUAUUAUUUGUGCGAAUGCAUUAAUAACAAUUCUAUUAAGCUGAUGCUUCAAUUUUUGAAGUUAUU